CCAUCUGUCAUCUGUUACUGUCUGUCCAUCUGUCUCUGUUACUGUCUGUCCAUCUGUCUCUCUGUUACUGUCUGUCCAUCUGUCUCUCUGUUACUGUCUGUCCAUCUGUCUCUCUGUUACUGUCUGUCCAUCUGUCUCUGUUACUGUCUGUCCAUCUCUCUCUGUUACUGUCUGUCCAUCUGUCUCUCUGUUACUGUCUGUCCAUCUGUCUCUCUGUUACUGUCUGUCCAUCUGUCUCUCUGUUACUGUCUGUCCAUCUGUCUCUCUGUUACUGUCUGUCCAUCUGUCUCUCUGUUACUGUCUGUCCAUCUCUCUCUGUUACUGUCUGUCCAUCUGUCUCUCUGUUACUGUCUGUCCAUCUGUCUCUCUGUUACUGUCUGUCCAUCUGUCUCUCUGUUACUGUCUGUCCAUCUGUCUCUGUUACUGUCUGUCCAUCUGUCUCUCUGUUACUGUCUGUCCAUCUGUCUCUCUGUUACUGUCUGUCCAUCUGUCUCUCUGUUACUGUCUGUCCAUCUGUCUCUCUGUUACUGUCUGUCCAUCUGUCUCUCUGUUACUGUCUGUCCAUCUGUUUCUCUGUUACUGUCUGUUACUGACUGUUUCUCUGUUACUGUCUGUCCAUCUGUCUCUCUGUUACUGUCUGUCCAUCUGUCUCUCUGUUACUGUCUGUCCAUCUGUCUCUCUGUUACUGUCUGUCCAUCUGUCUCUCUGUUACUGUCUGUCCAUCUGUCUCUCUGUUACUGUCUGUCCAUCUGUCUCUCUCUGACUGUCUGUCCACCUGUGUCUCUCUGACUGUAUUGAACGGGUGCACCCUUCAGGAGAGUACUGGUACGUACCCCAACUCUCACCAUUACUGGCUGAAAUCAUCUCUGAAAAGGGAAAAAGUUCAUACCUGAGAAACUAUAAAAGGGAAAUGCUGGUUAUGAAUAUUCUAAAUAUUUAAAUAUGAUUGUUAAUAUGCAUUAUUUUUAUAAGCACGUAUGAAAACACAUUUCACCAUUAAAAUAAUUUCCCUCCCCCAAAUUAAAGACUACAUUUUUGAGAAGCUGUUAUUUUUCUCUUUCAUUUAAAAAUAUCUGUUACUGUUUUUUAGUUUUAUUUUUGUACCAAAACAUCUAAAUAAAGCCAGAAAAAUGAAUACAUUCUUAAUCUGUGUCUGUCUGCCUGAUCGCUUGGUUAUGCCUGGCGGCGGCCAUCGCUUGAUCAUGUCUGUCUUUAUGAUGCUGCUAGGAACGAGAAUAAAGACACAAACUAGAAGUUAAACACUCUGUCCACCUGUCUCUCUCUG
Molecule: long non-coding RNA, 1285 nt
Organism: Oncorhynchus tshawytscha (Chinook salmon)
Lineage: Eukaryota; Metazoa; Chordata; Actinopteri; Salmoniformes; Salmonidae
Source: Ensembl